Molecule: non-coding RNA, 75 nt
Organism: Eragrostis curvula (weeping love grass)
Lineage: Eukaryota; Viridiplantae; Streptophyta; Magnoliopsida; Poales; Poaceae
Source: the annotation of a GenBank genome assembly
GGGGAUGUAGCUCAAUUGGUAGAGAGAUAUCGUAAUGCUUGAUAUAGGUUUGGGGUUCGAUUCCUCACAUCUCCA